CUUGACGGAGCCCAGCCACAGCGGCUCGGCGCGGUCCUGCCCGUAGGCGACGAGCAGCGCCUGGGCCUC
RNAcentral lists this antisense RNA (69 nucleotides) under Streptomyces antibioticus. RNAcentral's name for it is "ASpks sRNA". It matches the Rfam family "ASpks TB sRNA". RNAcentral also lists the same sequence under 1 other name. The record is from RNAcentral. Lineage: Bacteria; Bacillati; Actinomycetota; Actinomycetes; Kitasatosporales; Streptomycetaceae.